CCCCCUUUAACUCAAUGAUAGAGUAACGCCAUGGUAAAGCGUAAGUCAUCAAUUCAAAUUCGAUAAGGGGCU
This is a non-coding RNA of Lupinus angustifolius (narrow-leaved blue lupine), 72 nucleotides long. The record is from Rfam. Lineage: Eukaryota; Viridiplantae; Streptophyta; Magnoliopsida; Fabales; Fabaceae.